Molecule: ribosomal RNA, 253 nt
Filed under: uncultured bacterium
Lineage: Bacteria
Description: partial 16S ribosomal RNA
Rfam family: Bacterial small subunit ribosomal RNA
Source: RNAcentral
UACGUAGGGUGCGAGCGUUGUCCGGAUUUAUUGGGCGUAAAGAGCUCGCAGGCGGUUUGGUAAGUCGGAUGUGAAAUCCCGGGGCUCAACCCCGGACCUGCAUCCGAUACUGCCAGGCUAGAGGUAGGUAGGGGAGAUCGGAAUUCCUGGUGUAGCGGUGAAAUGCGCAGAUAUCAGGAGGAACACCGGUGGCGAAGGCGGAUCUCUGGACAGUUACUGACGCUGAGGCACGAAAGUGAGGGGAGCAAACAGG